RNAcentral lists this ribosomal RNA (456 nucleotides) under uncultured bacterium. RNAcentral describes it as "bacterial SSU rRNA". It matches the Rfam family "Bacterial small subunit ribosomal RNA", at positions 29 to 526 of the family's 1533-position model. The record is from RNAcentral.
AACGAACGCUGGCGGCAGGCCUAACACAUGCAAGUCGAACGGGCAUCUUUCGGGAUGUUAGUGGCGGACGGGUGAGUAACGCGUGGGAACGUGCCCUUUGGUUCGGAAUAGCCCCGGGAAACUGGGAGUAAUACUGGAUAAGCCCUUCGGGGGAAAGAUUUAUCGCCAAAGGAUCGGCCCGCGUUGGAUUAGGUAGUUGGUGGGGUAAUGGCCUACCAAGCCGACGAUCCAUAGCUGGUUUGAGAGGAUGAUCAGCCACACUGGGACUGAGACACGGCCCAGACUCCUACGGGAGGCAGCAGUGGGGAAUCUUAGACAAUGGGGGAAACCCUGAUCUAGCCAUGCCGCGUGAGCGAUGAAGGCCUUAGGGUUGUAAAGCUCUUUCAGUGGGGAAGAUAAUGACGGUACCCACAGAAGAAGCCCCGGCUAACUCCGUGCCAGCCGCCGCCGUAACAC